UAAAGGUUAGUUUAAAAAAAAUGUUUAAUUGUUACUUAAAAGUUUAACCUUUAU
Molecule: transfer RNA, 54 nt
Filed under: Hammerschmidtiella sp. ZengetLiu-2016
Lineage: Eukaryota; Metazoa; Nematoda; Chromadorea; Rhabditida; Thelastomatidae
Description: tRNA-Asn
Source: RNAcentral